UCAAAAACAAAGUCGUUCUCCAACUUCUUGUCCUGCAUCACUGCCAUCGCAGCUCUCAGCACUAAAAAGGUGGCAUCAGACUCCUCCAAAGAACAAGUGGCCAAUUCGAGGGAAUCCUCCUCGUUAUCAAAAGAAGUAAACGACAGUCCGAGAGCCGCCGACAAGUCUCCUGAAUCCCAGAAUCUCAUCGACGGGACCAAAAAAACAUCCCUAAAGCAACUGGAUAGUCCCAGAAACAUCUCAAGUGAGAACAGCAUCAAAGGAACCCCGGCUUCUCCCGCAGGGUCCACACCACCAAUCCCCAAAGUCCGCAUAAAAACCACUAAGACGUCUUCUGGGGAAAUCAAGAGAACAGUGACCAGGGUAUUGCCAGAAGUGGAUCUUGACUCUGGGAAGAAACCUUCCGAGCAGACGGUGUCUGUGAUGGCCUCUGUGACAUCCCUUCUGUCGUCUCCCGCAUCAGCUGCCACCCUUUCCUCUCCCGCCAGGGUGCCUCUCCAGUCUGCAGUGGUGACCAAUGCAGUUUCCUCUGCAGAGCCCACCCCUAAACAGGUCACAAUCAAGCCUGUGGCUACUGCUUUCCUCCCAGUGUCUGCUGUGAAGACAGCAGGAUCCCAAGUCAUUAAUUUGAAGCUCGCUAACAACACCACGGUGAAAGCCACGGUCGUACCUGCUGCCUCUGUCCAGAGUGCCAGCAGCACCAUCAUUAAAGCUGCCAAUGCCAUCCAGCAGCAAACUGUCAUGAUGCCAGCAUCCAGCCUGGCCAAUGCCAAACUUGUGCCAAAGACUGCAUCUUGCCAACCUUAACCUUCUGCCUCAGGUUGCCCAGGCCACCUCUGAACUCUGCCAAGUGUCAAUCAAAACUCAGCAACAGAUAAAGAAGGCAAUAAUUAAUGCAGCAGCCUCACAAGCCCCCAGAAAGGUGUCUCGAGUCCGGGUGGUGUCGUCCUUGCAGAGUUCUGUGGUGGAAACUUUCAACAAGGUGCUGAGCAGUGUCAAUCCAGUCCAUUUACAUCCCAAACCUCAGUCCUCCUGCCAAUGCAGGGAUCACAUUACUGAUGCCUUGGUACAAGUGCUUGGAGUGUAGGGACUCCUUUGAACUUGAAAAGAGUCUGACCCAGCACUAUGACAGAUGGAGCAUGUGCAUCGAAGUAACAUGCAACCUUUGUACAAAGAACCUCGUUUUUUUACAACAAAUGCAGCCUCCUUUCCCAUGCCCGUGGGCAUAAGGAGAAAGGGGUGGUAAUGCAAUGUUCCUACUCAAUUUUAAAGCCAGUCCCAGCAGGUCAAACGAUAGUUUCUCCAUCAACCAAUACUUCUUCUUCAUCAGAGGAAAAAUCCACUCUUCAGAGCCCUGUGGGAGCUGGCAUACACACUGUCACAAAAAUUCAGUCUGGCAUAACUGGGACAGUCAUAUCGGCUCCUUCAAGAACUCCCAGCACUACAGCCAUACCCCUAGAUGAAGACCCCUCCAAGCUGUGUAGACAUAAUCUAAAAUGUUUGGAGUGUAAUGAAAUCUUCCAGGACAAGACAUCGCUGGCUACACAUUUCCAGCAGGCUGCAGAUAUGAGUGGACAACAAAUGAAGAAACAACCCUGCUGCCAGCGUGACAAGCCUUUCAGCUCAUCCCACAGCCUGUGCUGGCACAACCGGAUCAAGCACAAAGUCAUCAGGAAAGUGUACACCUGUUCACACUGCUCAGACUCUAGAGGUACCUUUACCAAACAGUUGAUGUUGGAGAAGCAUGUCCAGCUGACGCAUGGCAUCAAGGACCCUGACCUGAAAGAAAUGACAGACGCCAUCAAUGAGGAGGAAACAGAAAUAAAAGAAGACCCCAAGGUCCCCAGUCCCAAGUGGAAGUUGAAAGAACCGGUUCUGGAGUUCAGGCCUCCCAGAGGAGCAAUCACUCAACCAAAGCUGAAAAUCAAUGUUUUUAAGGUUCACAAGUGUGCCGUGUGUGGCUUCACCACCGAAAACCUGCUGCAGUUCCACGAACACAUCCCUCAGCACAAAUCGGAUGGUUCUUUCUACCAGUGCCGGGAGUGUGGCCUCUGCUACAUGUCACGUCUCUCUGUCCAGGCACCUCUUUGUUGUACACAAGUUAAAGGAACCUCAGCCAGUGUCCAAGCAAAACGGGGCUGGGGAAGAUAACCAACAGGAGAACAAACCCAGUCACGAGGAUGAAUCUCCCAAUGGCGCCAUGUCAGACAGAAAGUGCAAAGUGUGUGCAAAAACUUUUGAAACUGAAGCUGCCUUAAACACUCACAUGCAGACACAUGGUAUGGCCUUCAUCAAAUCCAAAAGGAUGAGCUCAGACGAGAAAU
This 2324-nucleotide long non-coding RNA is filed under the name Homo sapiens (human). RNAcentral describes it as "non-protein coding lnc-LIMS3-3:1". Lineage: Eukaryota; Metazoa; Chordata; Mammalia; Primates; Hominidae. The record is from RNAcentral.